RNAcentral lists this transfer RNA (96 nucleotides) under Puccinia triticina 1-1 BBBD Race 1. RNAcentral's name for it is "Puccinia triticina tRNA PTTG_20086". It matches the Rfam family "tRNA". From Rfam's summary of the family: Transfer RNA (tRNA) molecules are approximately 80 nucleotides in length. Their secondary structure includes four short double-helical elements and three loops (D, anti-codon, and T loops). The record is from Rfam by way of RNAcentral. Lineage: Eukaryota; Fungi; Basidiomycota; Pucciniomycetes; Pucciniales; Pucciniaceae.
GUCUCCGUGGCGCAAUUGGUUAGCGCGUUCGACUGUUACGCAGGGCGCUCACCCGCAUUCAUCGAGAGGUUGGCAGUUCAAGCCUGCCCGGGGACG